This 450-nucleotide ribosomal RNA is filed under the name uncultured organism. RNAcentral describes it as "partial 16S ribosomal RNA". It matches the Rfam family "Bacterial small subunit ribosomal RNA", at positions 332 to 798 of the family's 1533-position model. The record is from RNAcentral.
UACACUCCUACGGGAGGCAGCAGUGGGGAAUAUUGGACAAUGGGCGCAAGCCUGAUCCAGCCAUGCCGCGUGAGUGAUGAAGGCCCUAGGGUUGUAAAGCUCUUUCACCGGAGAAGAUAAUGACGGUAUCCGGAGAAGAAGCCCCGGCUAACUUCGUGCCAGCAGCCGCGGUAAUACGAAGGGGGCUAGCGUUGUUCGGAAUUACUGGGCGUAAAGCGCACGUAGGCGGAUCGAUCAGUCAGGGGUGAAAUCCCAGGGCUCAACCCUGGAACUGCCUUUGAUACUGUCGAUCUGGAGUAUGGAAGAGGUGAGUGGAAUUCCGAGUGUAGAGGUGAAAUUCGUAGAUAUUCGGAGGAACACCAGUGGCGAAGGCGGCUCACUGGUCCAUUACUGACGCUGAGGUGCGAAAGCGUGGGGAGCAAACAGGAUUAGAAACCCUGGUAGUCCCAU